GAGUCCUUGUUUUGGCACGUCUAUUAAAAUUGCAAAUGUAAAGAAUAUUAGCACGGCCCCUGCUCAAGGAUGACACACAAAUGCGUGACGCAGGCUAUAUUUAA
Small nuclear RNA from Nannospalax galili (Upper Galilee mountains blind mole rat), 104 nucleotides. The record is from Ensembl. Lineage: Eukaryota; Metazoa; Chordata; Mammalia; Rodentia; Spalacidae.